ACAACAAUAGGAACGUUUUAUGGUGGAACUGAAUAAAAGCUUUUCUCAAAAUCUCACAACUACGUCAACAACGAGGCGUAUUUUACAUAUUAUUAUUUUUUUUUAAAUAUUUUGCGUUGAGCUGAUUUUGCUGUGUCCGAAGGACGUUUGCCAUUUCCGCAGAGUGAGGACAGAAGAGACACUUGAAGAGCCGCAGCUCUUGUGUACUAUGAAGAGGAAAAGGGUUGAAUAAAGGCAGGAGAUGGAAGUUGCAGAACACAA
Long non-coding RNA from Sinocyclocheilus anshuiensis, 261 nucleotides. RefSeq lists it as uncharacterized. The record is from RefSeq and is a predicted model, not a curated record. The transcript has 3 exons. Lineage: Eukaryota; Metazoa; Chordata; Actinopteri; Cypriniformes; Cyprinidae.